AAGAGAGAUUAGGGGACGUUCUGCACAGUUGUGGGGCCUCAGAAGAUAGGAUCUGUGAUGACCUCCGCCAUGGCCUGGUAUACUCUCCUCUUCACCCUCCUUGCUCACUGCACAGCAUCCUGGGCCCAGUCUGUGCUGACUCAGCCAUCCUCACUGUCUGGGUCUCUUGGCCAGAGAGUCACCAUCUCCUGCACUGGAGGCAGCACCAACAUUGGUGAUGGUUAUAGUGUGUACUGGUACCAACAGCAUCAGGGAAAGGCCCCUAAAACAAUCAUCUAUGGUACUAGCUCUAGACCCUCAGGGGUCCCUGAACGGUUUUCUGGCUCUAAAUCUGGCAACACUGGCUCCCUCACCAUCACUGGACUCAAGACUGAGGAUGAAGCUGAUUAUUACUGCUUAUCAUGGGACAAGAGUCUCAAUGGUCACACAGUGUUCCGGGUCUGUGAGGAAGUGAGACAAAAACCUGCUGUUUCCCCAGCAAUGGAGGUUACCUCGCAGCCUACAGUUCUUGGCCAUAUCAGCUACUUCCUUUGUUUAUUCUAA
Molecule: non-coding RNA, 543 nt
Organism: Mustela erminea (ermine)
Lineage: Eukaryota; Metazoa; Chordata; Mammalia; Carnivora; Mustelidae
Source: the annotation of a RefSeq genome assembly